AUGUGUUACGCAGCCAAUCUCGAGACCGGCGCAGAAUUGAUUGAAUACGACUGCUCUGAAAAGCUGGGCUAUUUCUGCAGUAAAUUAAAACCACGUUCUACUAAUGACUUCGAUUGCGAAUACGCGAACGCGGCUCGGUGGUCUCGGCGUCCGGUUUGUGUGAGCAAUGUUGGAAUGAACUUGGGGGAGUCCGUAACGCAAUGCACAAAACUGGGCAUGGAUCUUCUCCCUGCUGGUCUCGACCACAAAGAAUACGCAGUCAUUGUAAAAAACUACUUCCUACUAUUCAUGGUUCCGAGGCCGCAUUUAGCCCUGUGGCUCGACACACC
Rhipicephalus microplus (southern cattle tick) is the source of this 329-nucleotide long non-coding RNA. The record is from RefSeq and is a predicted model, not a curated record. Lineage: Eukaryota; Metazoa; Arthropoda; Arachnida; Ixodida; Ixodidae.